This 114-nucleotide ribosomal RNA is filed under the name Pteropus alecto (black flying fox). The record is from RNAcentral. Lineage: Eukaryota; Metazoa; Chordata; Mammalia; Chiroptera; Pteropodidae. RNAcentral also lists the same sequence under 1 other name.
GUCUACAGCCAUGCUACCCUGAACAAGCCUGAUCUUGAAAGCUAAGCAGGGCAGGGUCAGGCCUGGCUAAUACUUGGAUGGGAGACUACCUAGGAAGACCAGAUGCUGUAGGCC